Molecule: unclassified non-coding RNA, 327 nt
Filed under: Hevea brasiliensis (rubber tree)
Lineage: Eukaryota; Viridiplantae; Streptophyta; Magnoliopsida; Malpighiales; Euphorbiaceae
Source: RNAcentral
GUGGAAUAGAGUUUAGUUUCAGGGAGAAAAAGAGGAAAUCAAGGCCUUGCAGUCAGCUUUAGAAGAAACGCAUGAAGAUGUGGGGAAUCCUGAAAAUAAAGUAGUGGAAGGGACUCUGUUGCAUCGUCUUCAUGCCUUAUGGAAGCAGGAUGAGGAACAUUGGAGACAACGGUCUCGAAUCCAUUGGCUUCAAGCUGGCAACUGCAAUUCCAGAUUCUUUCACUUAUCUAUGACAAAUAGAAGGUAGCGAAAUUCUAUUAUGAAGCUGCAGGGAAGCAAUGGAAAUUGGAUUGAAGCAGAAGAGGAUAUUAGAGAGGAAAUCAUGCA